AGAGUUUGAUCCUGGCUCAGGACGAACGCUGGCGGCGUGCCUAACACAUGCAAGUCGAGCGGGGAGAGAUUUUCGGAUUUCUCUUUAGCGGCGGACGGGUGAGUAACACGUGGGUAACCUGCCUCAAAGUGGGGGAUAGCCUUCCGAAAGGAAGAUUAAUACCGCAUAAUAUCAGAGCACUGCAUGGUGCUGUGAUUAAAGGAGCAAUCCACUUUGAGAUGGACCCGCGGCGCAUUAGCUAGUUGGUGAGGUAACGGCCCACCAAGGCGACGAUGCGUAGCCGACCUGAGAGGGUGAUCGGCCACAUUGGAACUGAGACACGGUCCAGACUCCUACGGGAGGCAGCAGUGGGGAAUAUUGGGCAAUGGGCGAAAGCCUGACCCAGCAACGCCGCGUGAAGGAAGAAGGUUUUCGGAUCGUAAACUUCUAUCCCAGAUGAAGAUAAUGACGGUAAUCUGGAAGGAAGCCCCGGCUAACUACGUGCCAGCAGCCGCGGUAAUACGUAGGUGGCAAGCGUUGUCCGGAAUGAUUGGGCGUAAAGGGCGCGUAGGCGGCUGAUCAAGUCAGUAGUGGAAGUCCAUAUUUCAAGUAUGGAAGUGCUAUUGAAACUGAACAGCUUGAGUGCAGGAGAGGUUAUCGGAAUUCCCGGUGUAGCGGUGAAAUGCGUAGAGAUCGGGAGGAACACCAGUGGCGAAGGCGGGUAACUGGACUGCAACUGACGCUGAGGCGCGAAAGUGUGGGGAGCAAACAGGANUANAUACCCUGNUAGUCCACACGGUAAACGAUGAAUGCUNGGUGUAGGGGGUAUCGACCCCNUCUGUGCCGGANUAAACACNNNANCAUUCCGCCUGGGGAGUACGGUCGCAAGACUAAAACUCAAAGGAAUUGACNGGG
RNAcentral lists this ribosomal RNA (894 nucleotides) under uncultured bacterium. Its description in RNAcentral is "bacterial SSU rRNA". It matches the Rfam family "Bacterial small subunit ribosomal RNA", at positions 8 to 918 of the family's 1533-position model. The record is from RNAcentral.